UACAGAGGGUGCGAGCGUUAAUCGGAAUUACUGGGCGUAAAGCGUGCGUAGACGGUAAUGUAAGUCAGAUGUGAAAGCCCCGGGCUCAACCUGGGAAUUGCAUUUGAGACUGCAUUGCUUGGGUGCGGAAGAGGGAAGCGGAAUUUCCGGUGUAGCGGUGAAAUGCGUAGAGACCCGGAGGAACACCAGUGGCGAAGGCGGCUUCCUGGUCUGCGACUGACGCUGUGGCGCGAAAGCUAGGGGAGCAAACGGG
This 253-nucleotide ribosomal RNA is filed under the name uncultured bacterium. RNAcentral describes it as "partial 16S ribosomal RNA". It matches the Rfam family "Bacterial small subunit ribosomal RNA", at positions 524 to 776 of the family's 1533-position model. The record is from RNAcentral.